CCUACGGGAGGCAGCAGUGAGGAAUAUUGGUCAAUGGGCGAGAGCCUGAACCAGCCAAGUCGCGUGAGGGAAGACGGUCCUAUGGAUUGUAAACCUCUUUAGGCGGGGAGCAAAGCCGGGCACGCGUGCCCUGAGGGAGAGUACCCGCAGAAUAAGCAACGCGUAACACCGUGCAGGCGGCCGCGGUAAUACGGAGGAUGCGGCGGUUAUCGGGAUUUAUGGGGUUAAAUGGGUGCGAGGGCGAAGUUUUAGGUCCACGUGAAAAUGUCCGGGCUAACCCCGGGACGGCCGUUGAAACUGGGGAUCUUGAGUGGGCGAGAAGUAGGCGGAAUGCGUGGUGGAGCGGUGAAAUGCAUAGAUAUCACGCAGAACUCCGAUUGCGAAGGCAGCAUACCGGCGCCCGACUGACGCUGAGGCACGAAAGCGUGGGGAUCGAACAGGAUUAGAUACCCGUGUAGUC
RNAcentral lists this ribosomal RNA (460 nucleotides) under uncultured bacterium. Its description in RNAcentral is "partial 16S ribosomal RNA". It matches the Rfam family "Bacterial small subunit ribosomal RNA", at positions 338 to 795 of the family's 1533-position model. The record is from RNAcentral.